CUGCGGAAGGAUCAUUAUCGUAUCUCUGGCCCGGUCGUCCCGCCCUGCUCCAGCCGCAAGGCCGUGCAGCGGGUGGUUCGGUCGAGUCAAACCUUCACAAACCCACCGUGCACUUUCACGGCUGAAGGCCCCGGCGAGAGUUGGUGCGUCUGAAGCCGUUCCACAAAACACCUCUAUUAUCAAGUAUGAUCGUGACCUCAUUGGUUGCCUAAAAAACGAAACAACUUUCAACAACGGAUCUCUUGGCUCUCGCAUCGAUGAAGAACGCAGCGAAAUGCGAUAAGUAAUGUGAAUUGCAGAAUUCAGUGAAUCAUCGAAUCUUUGAACGCACCUUGCGCUCCUUGGUAUUCCGAGGAGCAUGCCUGUUUGAGUGUCUUGAAUCCAUCACCCUGCACCGUUUGUCAAAGGACGGUGCUCGGGUGGACCUGGGGUUGUGCGGCUGCAAGGCCGCUCCCCUUAAAUGUGUCGGUCGGGCGUUGUGGGUCUGAACUCGAAAGGGCGUUGUACCAUCCUCGCUCCCUCGGGGACCCCGUUUUGCCAUCGACCCGCGACCCGCCUCUCGGAGGAGGGCCAACACUUUUGCAAUCUGACCUCAGAUCAGGUAGGACUACCCGCUGAACUUAAGCAUAUCAAUAAGCGGAGGAAAAGAAACUAACAAGGAUUCCCCUAGUAACUGCGAGUGAAGCGGGAAAAGCUCAAAUUUGAAAUCUGGCGUCUCCGGCGUCCGAGUUGUAUUCUGGAGAAGCGUUUUCCGUG
Molecule: ribosomal RNA, 756 nt
Filed under: uncultured Trechisporales
Lineage: Eukaryota; Fungi; Basidiomycota; Agaricomycetes; Trechisporales
Description: eukaryotic LSU rRNA
Rfam family: 5.8S ribosomal RNA (bases 223-376)
Source: RNAcentral